Long non-coding RNA from Apis cerana (Asiatic honeybee), 1152 nucleotides. RefSeq lists it as uncharacterized. The record is from RefSeq and is a predicted model, not a curated record. NCBI's taxonomy places the organism in Eukaryota, Metazoa, Arthropoda, Insecta, Hymenoptera, Apidae.
UCUGCAAAGAAAUUUAAUUUAAAUUUGCAUAAAGGGAGUAAAUAUGUUACAUUAAGAUGGAAUGAAAUAUAGAAAAAAAUUCUUUCUAUAUUUUUAUUUCUAUGUUACGCACAAUUAUGAUGAAUAAUUUAUGAGAUUAUAGGAAAAAUAAAUUGAAAAAAGAAAGAAUAAAGUUUUCCCAUUCAUUUUGAAAUAAAAUAAAACAGCUCGGAAAUUUUCAAGUACAAUUAUAUUUUUUAUUAGAUAAGAGUAAACUGUCGAUAAAUGGUUCUGCACGUGGUUUCUACACGUGAAAAUAAUAUCAAAAAAUAUAGAAUAAAUUUUAUCAUUUGUUAUUAACAAAAUUGAAAUUAAAAAUCGUGUAAUGGGCUGGUUUUUCAAAUUUAAUUUUCUCAAAUACUAAUUUUUUAAAUAAAAGAAAUUUAUCAUUGGAAGGAUAAUUCUUGAUAAUUCUUGAUAAGUUGGCAUUCGUUGAAAGAAUAUAGAAUAUAAAUCAAGCUACAUAAACCUACCAAUAUAUAUAAUCAAGUCACAUGCAUUCUUAUAAUUGGCUGAAUUCAUCAUUUUUAUUAACUGUCACUAAUAGCAUAUAUCAGUGUGUGUUACAUUUGCUUUAUCAUCAGGAAAUUGCAUAAUACUUAUUGCUAAUUCAUAUUUUAUCGGAAAAUAGUCAAUAUUAUACUGGAAAAUUUUUCAAACUUGUUUUACUUAAAAAACUUUUUUUUUUCCCUAUACGAUUGUACUCUAUAUUCUUUAUUUUUCUAUAUUUCAUGUAAUAAACUUUCAUUUUAUUCCAUCAAACAUAUUUUUUAGUAUUCAUAGCAAAUAAAAAUGAUUAUUUUUAUUAAUUUUAUAAUUUUUUUUUUCAGUGAAUUAAAUUUGGUUAAAAUGAAACAUGUACAAAUAACUUUGGACGAAGAAAUUUGAAUUAUUUAAAUUUGGUGUGCAGAAACAUGGUAUGCAGAUAAAAUGUUUUAGGAGCAGAAGAAUUGUGCUUCAAUUAAAAAUAUACGAGAGAAAAAAAAAAAAAGAAAAACGACUUACUCAAGGAAUUAGACAUGGGCUCGUCCGCGAGGAAAUAUUUACACAUAUGAUCAAUCACAUCCUCGAAUCUGUCUUCUGGUAUCUCUUGAAUAGAGAAUUUUAUCGGAA